Molecule: ribosomal RNA, 536 nt
Filed under: uncultured delta proteobacterium
Lineage: Bacteria; Deltaproteobacteria
Description: bacterial SSU rRNA
Rfam family: Bacterial small subunit ribosomal RNA
Source: RNAcentral
GAGUUUGAUCCUGGCUCAGAACGAACGCUGGCGGCGUGCCUAACACAUGCAAGUCGAACGAGAAAGUCCUUCGGGAUGAGUACAGUGGCGCACGGGUGAGUAACGCGUGGAUAACCUGCCCUGAAAUCUGGGACAACAUCUCGAAAGGGGUGCUAAUACCGGAUAAGCCCACGAACUCUUCGGAGUUUGCGGGAAAAGGUGGCCUCUAUUUAUAAGCUAUCGUUUCAGGAGGGGUCCGCGUCCCAUUAGCUAGUUGGCGGGGUAAUGGCCCACCAAGGCGACGAUGGGUAGCUGGUCUGAGAGGAUGAUCAGCCACACUGGAACUGAGACACGGUCCAGACUCCUACGGGAGGCAGCAGUGGGGAAUUUUGCGCAAUGGGGGAAACCCUGACGCAGCAACGCCGCGUGAGUGAUGAAGGCUUUCGGGUCGUAAAGCUCUGUCGGAAGGGAAGAAAUGUACGGGUGCUAAUACCACCAGUACUUGACGGUACCUUCAAAGGAAGCACCGGCUAACUCCGUGCCAGCAGCCGCGGUAA